This 463-nucleotide ribosomal RNA is filed under the name uncultured bacterium. Its description in RNAcentral is "partial 16S ribosomal RNA". The record is from RNAcentral.
CUUUGGUAAGCCGGGGUCUUGAAGAAGGCAUUGAUUCCGGCCACCAACUGGGACUUGAGAACACCGGCCCCAAAACUCCCUACGUGGAAGUGGCACGCCAAGUUGGGGGGAACAUUAUUUNGGACCCAAUUGUGGGCGGAAAGGCCUUGGAUCCCAGCCAAUUGCCCGGCGUUGGUGUUGAAACGGAAGUGCCCCUUUUUGGNUUUGUUAAAACGCCAACUUUUUAAGGCGCAGUGAAGGGAGUGCUACACUAAUUUAACUUAAAUAACUUAACUUGGGAUUAAGGUUGGGAAACUCGUUUAACNUCGGCCAGGAAAUUAAAAGGCCACACCCGGGGCUUAAACUUUCUGGUUGGCCCAAGCCAAGCCCAGCCGGGUAACUUACCACGGAAGCGGGGUUGCGAAGGCNGGUUAAAUUCCGGGAAUUUUUAACUUGGGGCCCCGNUAAAAGGCGUUGGACAGNU